This 675-nucleotide long non-coding RNA is filed under the name Bemisia tabaci. Its description in RNAcentral is "lncRNA ENSSSA1UGG012392". The record is from RNAcentral. Lineage: Eukaryota; Metazoa; Arthropoda; Insecta; Hemiptera; Aleyrodidae.
AUGCUGUCAACGAGGGCGUUCUGUUUAUACCUGACACAGUUCCUCGUUUUUGAGAGCGAGUGCCGUCAUACUGGAGUGGCGCAAUUACCAGAUGGAACGAUUCUCUCUACAAUCUCACCGGAUCCAGCUUUCUCACAGGGGCAAAAUAUAGCCGGUCGAAGCACGCCCUUCCGCAUUUUGCAAAGCGAGGUCGGCCACUCCAUCGACGAUGCAUCGCCCUCAACAGCUGAUCACCGGUGGCCAGUUCUCCGGACAAGGAUGGCGAAUGGGAUGAAUCAGAUGAGACCCUCUGAACCUAAAUCUAAGCACUCUGAAAAACCUAAAGCUACUCAGUGGUUAAAAUCGGCAAGGGAUGCAGGCAGGAGUCUCAAACAGAAGGUUUCAAGUAUUGGAAGCGGGAGCGGGCGGUUUAGUCGAGGUGGAAGCUUCUCUUCAUAUGACUCAGACGGCAGUGGCCGUAGCAGUUCGAGGAACAGCGGUAGAUCAAAUAAAACUGACAAAACUAAGGUUCGAUUUUUUUUACCAUUUCAUCUAAACGUUUCAAAGAAAAAACUCGCCGUGGCGAGGAAAGGCAGCGAAUACAUAGUAUGGAUCCACCUUAAACUCAAAACCCCCUUUCCUUAUUUUAGACCAUUGAUCUUCCUUCACCCCUGGUAUGAAACUCACUGGAGUUGA